GUGUUGGAGCUGCCGGACAAGGAAGCACUUGAAAAUUGCUUUGCGAUUUCUAUAACAGGUUGCCGUAUUCAGGAGCUUCCUCAAGGAUUGGAAUGCUUGCAACUCGAAUUUUUAUAUGUAUCUCCCAAAGACUCUUACCUUCAAAUCAAUAUUCCUGAGAACUUUUUUGCAGGGAUGCGGAAGCUUAGAGUUGUAGAUUUUACUGGGAUGCAAUUAUAUUGCUUGCCAUCUUCAAUUGAUCUCUUAGUAAAUCUUCAAACACUAUGUUUAGAUCAAUGCAUGUUGGGAGACAUAGCUAUUAUUGGAAGGUUGAAGAAUCUGGAAAUCCUUAGCUUUUUAAAAUCAGAUAUUGUGCAGUUGCCUGAAGAACUACGUGAAUUGACUAAGCUAAGGUUGUUAGAUUUAUCCAAUUGUCUCCGGCUAAAAGUUAUUGCACCCAAUGUCCUAUCAAGCUUAACUCGAUUGGAAGAACUCUACAUGAAAAAUUGCUUUAUCGAAUGGGAGGUUGAAAGCCCCAAUAGUGGAAGAUGUACUGCCAGCCUUGUUGAGUUGUUGCAAUUGCCUCGACUGACCACUCUAGAAAUAGAUGUCAAAAAUGAUAGUAUUUUACCAGAAGGAUUUUUUGCAAAAAAAUUAGAAAGGUUCAAAAUAUCAAUAGGAGAUGAGUCAUUCAAGCCUCCCGUGCUUGCGAAUGAAUGGUUCCGUAGUCGGCGGCUUUUGAUCAGUAAUCCUUCGAGUUUAAGAACCAUUAAGCUGAAGCUUAGCUCAAAGCCUAUUUGCUCGAAGAAAAUGCAGGGCAUCCAGAAUGCUGAAUACUUGUGUUUGGACAAGCUGCAAGGUGUGAAUAAUGUUCUUUUCGAUAUGGACACUGAGGGCUUUCUACAGUUGAAGCAUCUCCAUGUUCAAAAUAAUCCUGAAUUCUCGUGUGUUGUUGACUCAACGGAGAGGGUAUCUCGCGAUGCCUUUCCUCUUUUGGAGUCACUUACUCUUUACAAUUUGAUUAACAUGGAGAGGGUGUGUACUGAUCCACUCAAAGUAGAGUCUUUCUGUGAACUUAAAACCAUAAAAGUGGGAAAAUGUGAUGAGUUGAGUAAUAUCUUCUUGCUGUCUUCCACAAGCUGCCUUCCCAGACUUGAGAGGAUUGCAGUUUUUGAUUGCGAUAAGAUUGAAGAGGUCUUUGCAAUUGGUGGAGAACCAGAUGUCGACAACUAUAAUACAAUGGAGAAGACAGAGUUUGCUGCAUUAAAAUGUUUACAUCUGCGGAAGCUUCCAAAGCUUGAAAGUUUUUGCUCUGAAGUAAAGAGACCAAAUACACAAGAGUCGCAAGAGGAAUUGACAGCUAUUACUUGCUCGAACGAAAUCAGUUUGUUGGAGGAGGACAAGCUUGAUACUUCGACACCGCUUUUCAAGGAGAAGGUAAGCAAUUAUAAUGAAACCAAAGCAUUCGUUUUUCUUUCUCAAUUUAUUCUAUCGUGCAUUCUCAUUUGAUGACAACUGUAGAAAAUAAAUUAUAAGGGAAAUAGAAAAUGAGAAUGGAAAUUAGAAUCUAACACACUCACUCACUAAGCUCGCUUUACACAUUAAUGAUGUGAAUUAAAUUGCAGAUUAAGUGUAUGUUUGGUAUGGUAAUAAUUCUCAAAAAAUCAUUUUUAGCACAGAUUUCUAAAAACUAUAUUUGAAAAAAGUUUUAACACAAUGUUUUGUAAAUGGGUGAGCUAUUUGCACCUCAAAAAUUACUCUAAACACUCUAAUUGAAAUAAAAAUUUAUAACAAAAAUAUCUAUCAUAUGAAUUACGUUAAGGACAAUUUAUUAUAAGUCAAUAUUACAUAAUUACUAUGAACGCCCCAUAUAACACACUCAUUAUUUAAUAUAUAUAAUUUUCAUGUUUUAAACCUUAAAAAAUUUUAUUUACAAAAUCUUCAUCAAUACUUAGAUGAAUAAUGAUAAAAUCAAUAUUUUUCUUUUAUUUUUCCAUAAAUAAAAUUAAUUUUGCACUCAUUAUUUUUAUUUUUUCAAAAAUAAAGUAAGUAUCUUUUUCCUUUUAUUGGGCUUUUGACCUCUUUUUUUUUUCUUCUUUGUCCUCUUCUCUUCUUCUCCUUCCUUUUUUAGAGUUAUUAUGGAAUAUUUCUUCUUAUUAUUUUCUCAUUGCAAGUUAUUUUAAGUGCAAAAUCCAAUAUUAAACAUAAGUAAACAAAAAAAUUAAUAACUAAAAUACUUGUUUUACUAUUUAAAUUACAUUCGGUACACAUGCAUGUUUGGUAAUUUACUAUUAUAAAAUACAUGUUUUAUUAUUUUUCAAAAAUAAAAGAGGUUUUUUAUAAUUCAUAAAUAAUAUUGAGCACACUAUUUUAAUAAUCACUUUUCAAUUACAUUUGUCAAACUCUUUGGUACAUUAGAUUGUCAAAUGAUCAAAUACCAAACACGCACUGAAGCUGUCACUUGGAAGAAGGUUUUGAUGGCUUAUAUUUACAAUCAAAGAAGAUACUUCUCAGCUUAUAUUGGAUCUAAUAAAAAAUUAAUGUUUAGGUUGUGCUCCCCAGCUUGGAGGAUUUGAAGCUGGUUGGAAUUAAUGUCGAAAAGAUUUGGCAAAAUCAACUUCCAGCCAUGUUUCUUUGCUUUCAAAGUUUAACUAAAUUGAUCGUGGGGAAGUGUCACAAAUUAAAAUGUAUAUUUUCGACUUCUAUGCUCAGAAGCUUUGAACAACUCCGACAGCUGAAUAUAUACAACUGUAUGGGUUUGCUUGAGAUUAUUUCCGAAGGAGCAGAUCAAGUGCCACCUUGUUUUAUCUUUCCGCGGCUGACAUUUCUAAGACUACGUAAACUACCAGAACUUAGAUGUUUAUAUCCUGGAAUGCAUACUUCGGAAUGGCCGGCACUAAAAAUGUUGAAGGUCUUUGGUUGUGACAAAAUAAAGUUAUUCGGUUCCGAAUUAUCUAGCUUCCAUGGAAACAUUGAUAAGAAUCAGCUUCAUAUCCCAGCGCAACAGCCCCUGUUGUUGAUCGAAAAGGUAUAUAUGCAACCAUUUAUUUGAUUUUUUAUCAGUUGAGUCUUACUGUUUCUUAUGUUUUACGUUUGAUUCUUUGUUGCAAAGAAACUCACAAACAAAAGAUUUUAGAAAUACCCACUGUACAUGUAUGUAUUGCUCAAAAUUGUUUGACAGAACAUCAAUAGAACUAAUUAGUUUUUAUAUGAGUUGAUGAUGUUCAGAUCUUCCCCAGCUUGGAGAAACUCCUAUUAAGUGGAAAGGAUUUCAGGAUGAUUUUGCAGGGUGAUUACCCACAAAACCUAUUUGGCAGUCUUAAAUACAUUAAGGUUGCGGAUGAUGACUCAGCUUGUUUUCCACUUGGUUUACUUGAGAAAUUUCAAAAUCUGGAAAUCCUCUUUCUGAGUUGUACUUCAUACACAGAGAUAUUAUCAAAUGAAGGACACUCGGAGAAGCACGUGGGCAAGUUCUCACAAGUAAAACAUUUACAGCCGUACAAACUGAAUGAUCUGAAGCACCUAUGGAAACAAGACUCCAAACUGGACUCCAUUCUUGCAAAUCUUGAAAUUCUACGAGUAUAUUGUUGUCAAAAUCUGACUGUUCUAUUGCCAUCAUCAUCGGUAUCGUUUUGGAAUCUAACAGAUCUGCAAGUUUGGGGCUGCAAGAAAUUGAUGAAUUUGGUAACAUCCUCCACAGCAAAGAGUCUAGUGCGCCUCAUGACAAUGAAGGUGUGUGGGAGCAAAGCAAUGACACAAGUGGUGGUAAGUGAGGAAGAUGGAGCAGAAGAUGAAAUUGUUUUCAGCAAAUUGAAGACAUUGUCUCUGCUUGAUUUAGAUAGCCUCACAAGUUUCUACUCUGGCAAUUACACCUUCAAAUUCCCAUCUCUACAAGAUUUAGAAGUGAUUGGUUGUCCCAAGAUGAAGAUUUUCACCACAGGAGAAUUAUGCACACCGCCGAGAGUAAAUGUCUGGUAUGGAGAGGGAGAUGGUGAAUGUCGUUGGGCUAAUGACCUUAACGUUACGAUACAAGAGUUGCAUGCUGAAAAGGUACGGUUAACCCACCAACUUAACUCCCAAGGAAAAAUUUUACAAAUUUGCACUUUUUAACAAAAUUUAGAAAAUAGAUCAUGGACAACCAAGUUUGACUCAUUAGAAUAUUUAUUAUUGAGUAAGUGCAUGAUCGGGUUUGAAAAAGUAUGAGACACUUCUGUAUGUAGUUCUUGAAACUGUCCAAUUUAAAACAGACAUAUUCAAUUCUCAAAAAAUCAUGAAUCAUUAGUUUUAACUUCAUAAUAUAAAAGUCGUGUCAAAUUAAUGAAUGAGAAUUUUGUUUUCAGAUGUUGGAGGGGUCGUCAUCUAACUUGAGGAAGUACGAUUGGUGAUCAUGUUGGCUUUUUAAUUUAUUACUUGGAGUUGUGAAUUUGAAGAAUAAAGUCCCAGGUAAAUAAUUUAAUUUCCCUUAUUUGAUCUCAUAGCUUGUUUCAUCGGUUCACCUGAACUAUUUAGAUUGCGUCACUGGUUUAUUGUUAACUUUAAAAUGAAGUUUUAAUGUUUCAUUCGGGGCUUUAUGAGCAAAUUUUACAUCAUUGAAUGUCCUUUGGUCUGAACUUUUGAGCUUUUUGUUUGAUAGUCAAGGCUUUAUAGUAUGCUAUUUAUAAUUCCUUAAGAAUGUGCAAAAUUUUUUAUGAUAAAAUUGCUUGAAUAUGUCAUUGAAAGGAACUUCUAUGUUGCUCUUUAUGAUUACAGAGUUCUCAAUGUUAUCACUCUUCUUUUGCAGGAUGUGGAAUCAAAGAUACUUUUCUAUGAAAUUUGUGUUCCUUGUAUUAAAAGUUUACAUGCUGAAGGGCUUCCUGUGUUAUCUUUGCUGUUCUACUUGUGCUUUACUUCAUUGUGUCGCUACAGCUUUGUGAGUGUUAUGUUAACUAUUGUUUCCUUCAUUUGGGCAUUGUAAGUUUCGAAGGCGCUACAUUGCUUGACUAAAGAUGCUUAAAUUUAUCAUCUGUUUGUACCCCUUGUAUUAUAUACAAUAAAUUUUUGAUGUAUUUUGACAUUUAAUACGAGAUAUGUUUGAAUUUUCAUUGAAAGGUUUCAUAAUUGUUCAAAUUUAUCUUCAGUUUUAUUUUUGUUAUCUUGUUGGAACCAAAUUGACAACCAAGAUCAAUUUGGAACACCCAAGAUCCACUCUAAGAAACUUGAUCUUAACUAGGUCUGAUACUAGACUGAGUUUAAGAAGAAAUUUGCCUAGGUAAGUGGAAUCAAACACAACUCAAGGAACAAAAGCAGAAAAGAAAGAAAACAGAUCUCACACACAGCACCAAGAUUUAUAGUGGUUCGGCCAUUUUCUUGCCUAUAUCCACUGUGAAAAGAGAAGCAAGCUUUCACUGAUUUCAGAGAUUACAAGUCACAGAGAUGAAGAGUAUGUGUAACAGAAUCGAAACCCCUCAGUAACAGAUCAUAGAGCCUUUUACAUUUCAAUCAAAACCCUCUAAAAGGACCCCAAACAAUCAGCUCACGCUCCUGGGUUUCUCAGCUAAGCAAUCCCAGCUGCAUCUGCAUCCCGCGUGAAUUAACUGAAUUAACAGCUUCUGGAACUGCUCAGGGACACUUGUCAAAUGCUCGUAUAAUUUGCUACUUCAAAAACCGACAUGACAUCACUUCCUUCCCCAAGCAUCAGACACGUCAUACACAUUCCCGAAUCCAGAUUUGAGCUUCCCCUCUUCAGCAUAUCUCAAAUACAUGUUAGGCCUUGCAUGCAUAGACGCACGUAAUAUCCCAGAAGAGUUUUAUCAGAUGAUUUUACUAUCAUCGUUGUUGUUGCUGCUCCCGCCGCCGCCAUUAUUACUAUUAUUAUACUACUACUUGAAAAUUUCAAGUAUUUUAGAUGAGAAAUUUAUUAUGUUAGAGAUAUUCAUAAUAUACAUGAUGCUGAAAUCAGGGAAUUUGUUGUCUCAGUUUGUUUUAUUUUUGUUUGCCUCGAAUCAAAUUUUGAAAUUUAAGAACUAUGGUAAGAGAUGGAACAAGAGGAGUUAAAAAAUUUGCCAAAAUUGAUGUAGCAAUGAAACAAUUGUAUCCUAACAUGUUUAGCAUCAUUCUACUUUAUGAUCAUUGUUGUUCCGUUAUUUUAGUUCUUGCUCUGUUUGUUCUGUUUCUCUGUUUAUUUCACUGGGGGUUUGCUUCACAAAAUCUUACUUUCAAAAUUUAGAAGGCAAGGAAAGAGCGCUUCGAAAAUGCAAGAGGUAUCAAAUCAUGCAUUAAAAAACUUGUUGGCUGCUGGCUGGUCUAUUUCAUUGGCACCGAUCGAAUCAUUAUCCCUAAAAUAAUUAGGAGUCGGAGAUAUAAGUGUGAAAAUAACAGGAUCAUUUACAACAUGGAAAUCAGUCGCCAUUGGUAGGUGGCGCUGCAUAUGAUAAUAACAACUGAUUGAUACCAACAAAGUGUUGGCUCCACUGGUAAUGGAGUCCCCUUAAGUGGCUUGACUGGAUUUGCUCCCCAGUUCGAGUCGCAGGGAAGUCGCCUUUGUUGGGAGAAUCUGUGCCUCCCGGUUCGAGCGGAGACUUCUAGUCUGGGUUGUGGUACGGGCUUAAAGGUGCCUCCCACAGUUGGGGCCCUCCCCAGGAUACCUCGUGAUUAAUAUAAAAAAAAAAAAACAACUGAUUGAUGAAAUUAAUGCCAUCAAUCUGCCUGUUAAUGUUGUUGACGCGUGUCAAAUUUUCAUGCAUAUUAGAAUUUAUUAGUGAGGUUGCAUUAUGGUCCAUAUCGUCAAUAACUUUAGCAGUCAAAUUUUACGCCACUGGAGUCAAAUUUUCAUGCAUAAAGCUGUUGGCUGGUCUGUUUGGCUCUACAAUGAUUUAUCUUUUCGACUUAAAAUGAUUCCAAAAAGCCAUCAGCAAUCUCUAGUGCAACUCUUCAAAAAAAAAAAUUAAAAUAAAAAUAAAAGUCUCAAAAAGUAUCAUUAAUUUAAUUCUAUUGUUUCCGGGUAAUCAGAACGUGUUUGAUAAAUAUUUAUAAGUUACAGUUUGAAAAUUAAAUAGAUUUUAUUUAACAAAAAGAUAUUGUUGACGCGUGUCAAAUUUUCAUGCAUAUUAGAAUUUAUUAGUGAGGUUGCAUUAUGGUCCAUAUCGUCAAUAACUUUAGCAGUCAAAUUUUACGCCACCGGAGUCAAGUGAUUUUUAAGCAGUUUUAUUCAACUGGUUACCUGAGUUCGAAUCUUAAAGAGAUAAAUAGUUAAAAAUGAAUUUAGACUUUGCCUACUCCUUUAAUAAAAAAAGAAGGUCAUUUAGUCUUAACUUUUGAAAUUUUUAUUUGACAUUUCGGCUUUAUAGCAUGCGAUGUAUUUUCUUAAAUUUUAUAAUUCCUUGAGAAUGUGCAAACAUUUUAUGAUAAAAUUACUUAAAAAUGUCGUUGAAACGAACUGAACUUUUUAUGUUGAAAGAAAGCCUUAUUAUUUUUCUGUACUUCUAUGUAAUGCUUUAUGGUUACAAAAUUCUCAUUGUUAUCACUCUUCUUGUGCAAGAUCUGUAAUGAAAGAUACUUUUCUGUCAAAUUUGUGUUCCUGAUAUUAAAAGUUCACAUGCUGGGGGGCUUCCUAUUUCAUCUUUGUCAUUCUACUUGUGCUUUGCUUCAUUGUGUAGCUACAGCAUUAUAAGCGUUACCAUAACUUAUCUGCAGCAAUUUUAUAAUUUACUAUUAUUGUGGUUGUUGCUGCUAUCAUUGUUCUACUAGUUGGAAAAUUCGAAUUCUUUUAGACGUGACAUUUAUCAUAUUAGAUAUUCAAGGUAUACAUACAUGCAUAUAUAUAUAUAUAUAUAUACUGGGUAUCUGUUUAGAUAUGAUGCAGAGAAAUGACAGAAGUUGUAUUAAGUGACGAAGAUUGAGCAGCAAAACAAGAGAUAGUUUUCAGCAAAUUAAAGACGUUGGCUCUGUUUGAUUUAGUUAGACUCACAAGUUUCUGCUCUGGCAAUUGCACUUUCAAAUUCCCAUCCUUGCAAGAUUUAACUGUGAUUGACUGUCCCAAGAUGAAGAAUUUUACUAGAGGAGAAUUAUGGAUGCCAUCUGGUACGGAGAGAGAGAAGAUGAAAGCCGUUGGGCUAAUGACCUUAACACAACCAUACAACAACUACAUGCAGAAACGGUAUGAUUAAUUCACUAUUCUAUCUCCAAUGGAAAAGUUUUACAAAAUUUGCAAUUUUUUAACAAAACGUAGAAAACUGAUCAUUGACAAGUUAGUUUGAUUCAUUAGAAUAUUCGCUAUUACUUUUGUAUUUAAUUCAUCAAACUGUCCUAUUUAAUAUUGACAUUUUCACAAAAGUUAGAUAAUGUUUUUCAAUUCUCACAAAUUCGUUAAUAAUUAGUUUUAAUUUCAUAAUAUGAAAAUCUUGUCAAAGAAAUUGUGUUAUUAAACUUAUUAAAUCUCUCGCUAGUGGCUUCCUUCCUAAUCUCCAUGUGCUUUAGUAUUUAUUUCCAAGUGCCUAAUUUUACGACUUUUAAUUUAGAUUAAUGAAUGACAAUUCUUAUUUUUUCAGCUGUUGGAGGGGCUUUCAUCUUAGUCGACUUUAUACAAGUAAUCUGAUCAAAUACAUUUUAGUACUUGGAUAAGAUGUGGAUUUGAAGACUAAAGAUCGCAGGUAACUAAUUUUAUUACUUAUGUACUUUUCUCAUGGUUUUGUUUCAUCGUUUCAUCUAAACUCUUUGGAAUGCAUUAAUUUUGUUUAUUGUUAAUUUGGAACGAAGUUUUAACGUAUCAUUCAGGGAUUUUGUUUGCAUCAUUGAGGGUUGUUUGGCCUUAACUUCUGAGGUUUUUGACAUUCAGCUUUAUAUUGUGCUAUUUUUUGUAAUUUUAUAACUUCUUGAAAGCAUGCAUAUAUUUUUUUUCUUAUCAUGAUGCCUCGAAAAUGUCAUUAGAAGGGACAGCAGUUUUCUUUUUCUUAUUUAUUUUCAAGUAUCUACGUUUGCGAAUUUUAGUUCAACUUGUUGAAUGGGAAUUUUGUUUUCAGCUACGUACAAGACGAUGCCGCUGCUGCUGCCAUUGUUACUGUCAUAGUUACUAUUACUCGAAAAUUUCAAGUAAUUUAGUUGUGAAAUUCAUUAUGUUAGAGAUAUUCAAAAUAUAUAUGAUGCUGAAAGAAAAGAGUGGACUUGUUGUCUCAGUUUGUCUCAUUUUGUUUUCUCCAACUCUAAUUUUCAAAUUUUAGAAAUAUGGUAAGAGAAGGAACAAAAUGAGUAAAAAAAUUGUCAAAAUAGUUGUAGCUAUGAACAAUUAUAUCCAAACACAUUUAGCAUCAAUCUACUUUGCCAAAUUUUUUAGUCAUCGUCUUUGCUCGGUUGUUUUAGUUUUUGCCCUGUUUGUUCUCUUUAUUUUGAUUGAGUUUGCUUUACAAAGUCUAUCUUUCAAAACUUAGAAGGCGAGGAAAGAGCGGGUAGGAAAUGCAAAAGGUAUCAAAUCAUGCAUAUGGUCAAAUGCUCCUGUAUAUGAACACAUAAAGAACAAUUGAAAUAUCAUUCACCGGAUAACACAAACAAAUAAAAAAAAAAAAAAAAAGAAGAAAGAGAGAAAAUCUAAUCGUCUCAUUAUCCCGAACACAAAUAAUUAAACCAUCAAAUGUUUGCAAUGAGCACAAUCAGAUCAUCUCUUUGGAAUAAUUACAUGUUGGCUUGGCCUAUUUUUUGGCCGGUAAAAAGGUUUUUGGCUGGAGCAUUUGGCCUUAACUUUUUUUUUUUUUUGAGUCUAUAUCAAUUGAUGCCACUAUGUCAAUAAUAAUUGGUAGGAAAUAAAUUAAUAUGUAACUAUAUCUUCUUAAUUAAUUAUUUGUUUUUUUAUCCAUUUACAUUGGAAAAAAGGGGUGCAGGGUCAGGAAGCUUCUUAGACGUGGCACGUUCAAAAGCUUUUUUUUUUUUUUGUCUGAACCACAUGGUCCUGAGUAGGCCCUAACUGUGGGAGAUACCUUUAAGCUCAUACCACAAUCCAAACUAAUCUCCACUCGCACCAGGUCGGCCCGUAAGGGAUAAAGUACUGGCUAAAGUGGUGACUCCAUAUAAGAGCGGGGCUUGAACCUCUGACCUCUCUUAAGAAGUGAGAGUGCCGAACCACUCUGUUCAAAAGCUUUUCUUUUUUAAAAGCUGCGUCAAGCAUGACACGUCAACAUCAUUUACAAGUGGGAACAACUCUUUUUCAUAAAAGAAAAGCCUUUUUUGUUUUAAAAUAAAGUUUUUUUGGAUGAUUCACUAUUACUAAUUGCCCAAGUCAUUCUAUUGCGAAUACAUGCAAAUUAAUAAAGAGACUUGUGGGGUUGCUGGAUAGAAAUUGUUGAAUACAUACAAAUUAUUGAACAGAAAUCCAAUAAUUGAACACCGGCCAAUUCUUGUCCAAUCAAAUUAAAACUCAAUUAAUAUAUUCCACUAAAUUUUUCGUACAACAUCCUAUUCAGAUGAAUAAAAUGUAAAAAAUAAAAUAUAUAAUUCAAAAAAUUAUAAAGGAUGCAAUUUAGCAGGUCAUACAAUAUACCAACAUCAUUUACAAGUGGGAACAACUCUUUUUCAUAAAAGAAAAGCCUUUUUUGUUUUAAAAUAAAGUUUUUUUGGAUGAUUCACUAUUACUAAUUGCCCAAGUCAUUCUAUUGCGAAUACAUGCAAAUUAAUAAAGAGACUUGUGGGGUUGCUGGAUAGAAAUUGUUGAAUACAUACAAAUUAUUGAACAGAAAUCCAAUAAUUGAACACCGGCCAAUUCUUGUCCAAUCAAAUUAAAACUCAAUUAAUAUAUUCCACUAAAUUUUUCGUACAACAUCCUAUUCAGAUGAAUAAAAUGUAAAAAAUAAAAUAUAUAAUUCAAAAAAUUAUAAAGGAUGCAAUUUAGCAGGUCAUACAAUAUACCAAAAAAAGUCUUGGGGGUGCAGUGGGAAUAUUUCUUGACAGAAAGAGUCUUAAAAAUUUUUUCGCCAGAAAACAUUUUCUCUCUCUGAUCUCUGUAUUCUUCAGAUCCUCCUCCUUGCUUGAACGUCUGUAACUUUGUCAUCCAUGAUUUGCAUUCAAUUCUUGACGAAAAAACCUUUUUCCGGAUUUUCAUCUUUUGAUCUCAAACAUGCUUUGCUUCUGUUGAUUGUGGUCGCUUCUAGUGCUAGUUCUCUUCUUAUAUAGCUUUGUUCCCUUUUGCCAUCAGCUCUUUGCAUUUCCUUGGAUGAAGAAACCUUUUUCUUGUUUCAAUUUUCUGAUCUCAAAAGCACUUUGAUUCUAGUCUGCCACACUGAUUUUGUCCUUGUUUUGUACAAACAUAAUUUCGCCAUUAUCUGUUUGAUUAUCAAUUGACCCGUCGUUGACUCUAUUCUAUUUCUAUGUGAAAAAUACGAAAAAAAAAAAAAAGAGAUUGAAGAUGGUGGAAAGCAUUGUUACUGUUGUUUUAGAAGUUGUGAAAUGCUUGGCUCCUCCGACACAACGCCAACUUGAUUACUUGCGAAACUACAAUGAAAACAUUCAGAAACUCGAGGCAGAAACCGAGAGCCUGAAGGUUGAAAUUAGGAGCAUUGAGCGCAGAGUUUUUGGGGCCGAAAAACAAGGAGAAAAGAGUGAAGAGAAAGUCGAGAAGUGGUUGGUUAGCGCCAACAAGAUCAUUGAUGAGGUGAAUGCCAAAUUCAUGGGAGAUGAAGAGACUGCAAAUAAGCGAUGUCUCAAGGGGCUGUGUCCUAAUUUGAAGGCUCGCUAUCAGCUUAGCAAGAAAGCAGAGACACAGGUGAAGGCCCUUGUUGAGUGCCGAGAAGAAGCCGGUCGACUUGAUAGAAUUUCCUACCUUACCUAUCCGGACAAGAUAUGGCUCAAGUCCCACAAAGGUUACGAGGCCUUUGGAUCAAGGCUUUCUACUUUGAAGUGUAUACAAAACGCUUUGACUGAUGUUAAUGUCAGCAUCGUUGGAGUGUACGGCAUGGGCGGCGUUGGAAAGACGACUCUAGCGAAGGAGAUCGUUAGGCAAGCCUUGGCAGACAAGCUCUUUGAUCAAAUAGCCUUUUCAGAGGUUUCCGAAACUGCAGACAUAAAAAAGAUUCAGCGGGAUAUUGCUGAGGACUUGGGUCUCGCAUGGCAUGAGGAAACUGAAUCUAGAACUGCGAGUAGACUGUAUGAACAGUUGAAGAAUGAGAAGAAGAUUCUUGUGGUUCUAGAUAACAUAUGGAAGCAUCUUGAUUUGGAGACUGUUGGAAUUCCUUUUGGUGAUGAUUAUAGAGGUUGUAAACUCUUGCUGAUAGCAAGAGAUCGUAAUGUUUUGUUGGAUAUGGAUUCUAAACAUAACUUCUUUAUUGACAACUUAAAUGAAGAAGAAGCUUGGAGAUUGUUUAAGACGAUGGCGGGUGAUUAUGUUGAAAAUCGUCAGCUGAAAUCUACAGCAACAGAUGUAGCCAAGGGAUGUGGAGGCUUGCCUAUUGCCUUAGCUACAACAGCAAGGGCAAUGAGAGACAAGACUGUGCAUGAAUGGAAGAAUGCCUUGCGAGAACUUCAGACGCCUUCAGUGAUGAACUUCGAAGGACUGCCGGCAGAUACUUAUGCAAGAAUCGAGCUGAGUUUCAAGUAUUUAAAAGGUGAGCAGCUCAAGAAAAUUUUUCUGCUUUGUAGUCUAAUGGGUAAUCCUAUUUUUACUUCAGACCUGUUUAAAUACUCCAUGGGUUUGGGUAUACUCCAAGGAGUCAAGAAGAUGGAAGAUGCACGAAACCAAUUAUAUGCAUUGGCCUAUAAACUUAAAGACUCUUGUUUGUUGCUUGAGGGAGGUAGCAGCGAACAAUUUUCAAUGCAUGACGUCGUUCGCGAUGUUGGCAUAUCAAUUGCUUACCGGGACCAACAUGUAUUUUUGGCAAAAAAUGAGGAUGUGUUGGAGCUGCCGGACAAGGAAGCACUUGUAAAUUGCUAUGCGAUUUCUAUAAGUGGUUGCCGUAUUCAGGAGCUUCCUCAAGGAUUGGAAUGCUUGCAACUCGAACUUUUAUAUAUAUCUCCCAAAGACUCUUACCUUCAAAUCAAUAUUCCUGAGAACAUUUUUGCAGGGAUGCGGAAGCUUAGAGUUGUAGAUUUUACUGGGAUGCAAUUAUGUUGCUUGCCAUCUUCAAUUGAUCUCUUAGUAAAUCUUCAAACACUAUGUUUGGAUCAAU
This 13100-nucleotide long non-coding RNA is filed under the name Citrus x clementina. Its description in RNAcentral is "Citrus clementina (C. clementina) long non-coding RNA (CCLE_LNC002964)". Lineage: Eukaryota; Viridiplantae; Streptophyta; Magnoliopsida; Sapindales; Rutaceae. The record is from RNAcentral.